This 2126-nucleotide long non-coding RNA is filed under the name Pan troglodytes (chimpanzee). RNAcentral's name for it is "lincRNA". The record is from RNAcentral. Lineage: Eukaryota; Metazoa; Chordata; Mammalia; Primates; Hominidae.
GCUGGGAAUAUGCUGGGGGAAGACACAGGCCUUGUUUCAAAACAAUCUACCUACUUAUCAUCUGGACACUGUCCUGGCUACUUCAGGGACACCAUUCCAGUUAACCUUCGCAGCAAUCCUGGGCCCUAUUUUACAGAUGAGCUUAUAUGCUGUAUGAAAGUCACGUGAACCCCAGAACUAGGAUUUGAACCCAGGUCUGCCCUAUGGCAGACGCCGUGUAUGUAAUCUUCAUAUUACACUGGAAAAAGCUACCUAUUCAAGGCACAUAUUCAAGGCAUAAUGGCUCCUGCCUCAAAAGCCUCCUUGCUGACUGUGCUUCCAAGCCUCAAACAGAGACACACAGCCUAUCCACAGGGCAGAAAAGUGAAGUCAGGCCAGUCCUGGAAAGGCUCAGAUCUCUCUGGCCUCAGAUCCCUGCUCUGCAAAGUGAGCAGGCAGCCUGGGUCUCAGGGAUUUGGCCCAGUGUCAGUGUCCCUGAAGCUCUCUGCCAAGUGCUGGGAAAGGGCACUGGAGAAGAGAGGUCAGAGGAGAUGCAUGACUGUGAGUACCCUCAUCCUUGCUCUGGGUAUGACAGUCACCCUGGAAUGAGGGAGCUUGGCAAAGGGUUUUAUCCUCCACUGUAUUUUGCUCUUGAUUCUGGGCAGGAUCCAGCUCCUGCCUUGCCCUCAGUGCUGAGUGACCUUAAGAAUCUCUGGGCUCAAAGCAUCCCCUUUGAGAGUAUUAUGUGUCUUCAGCAUUGACUUCAAUAUCUGGCAUGGAGUAGGUGCUCACCAGUGUUUGCUGAAUGCAUGAGAAGAGGUGGGGAGUGGAAGCGGGGAUGCCUUCCACAGGCCUCUUCUGAAGCACCCUGGGCCUGGCCCACUCUUUGCAGGGCCCCUCUGCCCCAUGUUGCCCUAACUCUGAACAGGGAUCAAAAGAAAGCCUGGUGGUUCAGGUCUUCCCAGUACUCUGGGAGCUCCUGGGAUGACAAGCAUUCGGGGCAGGGUCUCACUGGGGCCCUCAAAUAUGGCAUAUGGACACAGAUUCUCAUGCCAUUCCAGAUUUCUGGCCAUCCAAAUUCUCCCUGUCCUUAAGUCCUAGUCCAGGGUCCACCUACUCCAGGGGGUCUACUGGAAACAGAGCACCUGUUUUCUGACUUUCUAGUGCCCUGAGUGGGAACCACUUCACUGGGCUCUUGUUCCCAUGCUGUUGUGUGUUGCUUUGUAUGUAGUUCUUGGCCUACCUAAUGGCCCUGAGGAUCAGAAGUAAAUGGUCUCUGUUUCCAAUCUGUCUCCUAGGAGUGGACUGGUCAAAGAGAGUAGGCAGGGGCAAAGUAGAAGACUAAGGAUUUAAACGCAAUGUGCUGAAACAUCAAUGGAUGAUAAAACAAGUGGGUAAAAAAAAAAGGUAUGAGAAACAAUAUUUACAUAGCCUCAAAGUAUACCCCCACAAAAUACUUAUACAUUACAAAGGGAAAGUUAGUAAUUUUAUUAUACAAGGAGAAACCUGGCAGAUACCACCUUAACCAGGUGAUCAAAGUAAGUAUCAUCUGGAAUGUAAUAUGUAACAAAUGCUAUCAUGGGCCUCCUGGUCAGAUGUGUUCAAAAGGAGACAGUGUCACUUAUUCUUGCUGAGAAUGCAUAACCAGAAUCUAAUCAUAAGGAAACAAGACAAACCCAAAAUGUUCUAUGAAGUAAAUGGCUUGUGCUCAUUUAAAGAGACAAGACAACUAAGUGUAACUUGUGAUCCUUGGCCAGAAUUUCUUUCUUUUUUUUGUUUUUGUUUUUGGUUACAAAGGAUAUUAGUUCAACAACUGGCAACACUUAAAUAAGAUCAGGUACUGUGUCAGCAUUGAUUUCUUAAUUUUGAUACCUGUACUGUGGUUAUAUAAGAGGCUGUCCUUGUUUAGGAAAUAUAUACUGAACUUUUUGGGGAAAUAAGGAUAUUAGGUCAGCAAUUUACUCUCAAAUGUUUCCAGAAAAAAGUAGUAAUACAGUGUUUAUAUGUGUGUGAGAGAGUGUAUGAUAAAGCAAACAAGUUAAAUGUUAACACUUGGGGAAUAUGAGUAAAGGGUAUAAAAGUAUUCCUUGUGUUAUUUCUAAAACUUCUCUGUAUGUCUGACUUCAAAAUAAAAUGUAUGAAAAAAA